Molecule: ribosomal RNA, 248 nt
Filed under: uncultured Prevotellaceae bacterium
Lineage: Bacteria; Pseudomonadati; Bacteroidota; Bacteroidia; Bacteroidales; Prevotellaceae
Description: partial 16S ribosomal RNA
Rfam family: Bacterial small subunit ribosomal RNA
Source: RNAcentral
UACGUAGGUGGCAAGCGUUAUCCGGAUUUAUUGGGUUUAAAGGGAGCGUAGGCGGACAGUUAAGUCGGCGGUCAAAGCCCGGGGCCCAACCCCGGCCAGCCGUCGAAACUGGCGGUCUUGAAUGCGCACAAGGGAGACGGAAUUCGUCGUGUAGCGGUGAAAUGCUUAGAUAUGACGAAGAACUCCGAUUGCGAAGGCAGUCUCCUGGGGCGCGAUUGACGCUGAGGCUCGAAAGUGCGGGUAUCAAA